Molecule: small nuclear RNA, 107 nt
Organism: Loxodonta africana (African savanna elephant)
Lineage: Eukaryota; Metazoa; Chordata; Mammalia; Proboscidea; Elephantidae
Source: Ensembl
GUGCUCGCUUCGGCAGCACACAUACCAAAAUUGGAACGAUACAGAGAAAAUUAGCAUGGCCCCUGAGCAAGGAUGACAGGCAAAUUCGUGAAGCGUUACAUAUUUUU